GAUCUUGGUCAGAACGAACGCUGGCGGCGCGUUUAAGCAUGCAAGUCGAGCGGCAAGGGCCUUCGGGCCCCUAGAGCGGCGGACGGGUGAGUAACACGUGGACAAUCUGCCCCCCGGCCCGGGAUAGCCCAGGGAAACCUGGAUUAAUACCGGAUGAGACGGGACCCGCGAUGGCGGGAUCCGGGAAAGGCGCUGCGGCGCCGCCGGGGGAUGAGUCUGCGUCCCAUUAGCUAGACGGCGGGGUAACGGCCCACCGUGGCGACGAUGGGUAGCCGGCCUGAGAGGGUGGACGGCCACAUUGGAACUGAGACACGGUCCAGACUCCUACGGGAGGCAGCAGCUAAGAAUCUUCCGCAAUGGGCGAAAGCCUGACGGAAGCGACGCCGCGUGAACGAAGAAGGCCGUGAGGUUGUAAAGUUCUUUUCGGGAGGGGGAACAACCGUGGCAGGGAAUGGCCGCGGGAUCGACGUGAAUCCCGGAAUAAGCCCCGGCUAACCACGUGCCAGCCGCCGC
This 513-nucleotide ribosomal RNA is filed under the name uncultured bacterium. Its description in RNAcentral is "bacterial SSU rRNA". It matches the Rfam family "Bacterial small subunit ribosomal RNA", at positions 15 to 518 of the family's 1533-position model. The record is from RNAcentral.